GUGAAUCAUCGAAUCUUUGAACGCAAAUUGCACUCUCUUCGGAGAGUAUGCCUGUUUGAGGGUCAGCCUAAAAAAAAAUCGACAUAGUCGCUGUUUAGUUGUGUCCUUCGUUGGGAGUUGGGUUAUCUUAAACCUUUGGGUUUUAAGCGUCAUAUAAUUUUCUUUACGUUUCCUCGAACGUUUUUAAGAUUUACUUCUUAUAUGUUUAAGGUAUCGCUCUUUAUUUGAUGUGGUCGUUGGAUCGUAUCUUGUU
Molecule: unclassified non-coding RNA, 253 nt
Filed under: Glomus sp.
Lineage: Eukaryota; Fungi; Glomeromycota; Glomeromycetes; Glomerales; Glomeraceae
Description: partial contains 5.8S ribosomal RNA and internal transcribed spacer 2
Rfam family: 5.8S ribosomal RNA (bases 1-65)
Source: RNAcentral